This 440-nucleotide ribosomal RNA is filed under the name uncultured bacterium. Its description in RNAcentral is "bacterial SSU rRNA". It matches the Rfam family "Bacterial small subunit ribosomal RNA", at positions 29 to 514 of the family's 1533-position model. The record is from RNAcentral.
AGCGAACGCUGGCGGCAGGCCUAACACAUGCAAGUCGAACGGAUCCUUCGGGAUUAGUGGCGGACGGGUGAGUAACACGUGGGAACGUGCCCUUUGGUUCGGAACAACUCAGGGAAACUUGAGCUAAUACCGGAUGUGCCCUUCGGGGGAAAGGAUUUAUCGCCAUUGGAGCGGCCCGCGUCUGAUUAGCUAGUUGGUGGGGUAAAGGCCCACCAAGGCGACGAUCAGUAGCUGGUCUGAGAGGAUGAUCAGCCACAUUGGGACUGAGACACGGCCCAAACUCCUACGGGAGGCAGCAGUGGGGAAUCUUGCGCAAUGGGCGAAAGCCUGACGCAGCCAUGCCGCGUGAAUGAUGAAGGUCUUAGGAUUGUAAAAUUCUUUCACCGGGACGAUAAUGACGGUACCCGGAGAAGAAGCCCCGGCUAACUUCGUGCCAGCCG